Molecule: ribosomal RNA, 470 nt
Filed under: uncultured Bacillota bacterium
Lineage: Bacteria; Bacillati; Bacillota
Description: bacterial SSU rRNA
Rfam family: Bacterial small subunit ribosomal RNA
Source: RNAcentral
GGCCUUCGGGUUGUAAAACUCUGUCUUCAGGGAAGAAAAAAAUGACGGUACCUGAGGAGGAAGCCCCGGCUAACUACGUGCCAGCAGCCGCGGUAAUACGUAGGUGGCAAGCGUUGUCCGGAAUUACUGGGCGUAAAGAGCGCGUAGGCGGGUAUUUAAGUCAGGAGUGAAAACUGGCGGCUCAACUGCCAGCCUGCUCUUGAAACUGGAUCUCUUGAGGGUAUGAGAGGAAAGCGGAAUUCCCAGUGUAGCGGUGAAAUGCGUAGAUAUUGGGAGGAACACCAGUGGCGAAGGCGGCUUUCUGGCAUACAACUGACGCUGAGGCGCGAAAGCGUGGGGAGCAAACGGGAUUAGAUACCCCGGUAGUCCACGCCGUAAACGAUGGGUACUAGGUGUAGGAGGUAUCGACCCCUUCUGUGCCGUAGUUAACACAAUAAGUGCCCCGCCUGGGGAGUACGGCCGCAAGGUUG